This 515-nucleotide long non-coding RNA is filed under the name Amborella trichopoda. Its description in RNAcentral is "long non-coding RNA (ATRI_LNC002232)". Lineage: Eukaryota; Viridiplantae; Streptophyta; Magnoliopsida; Amborellales; Amborellaceae. The record is from RNAcentral.
CAUUAAAAGUCUACAAAAUAUGGCAAAUAUAUAUAUAGAAGAUGGAUUAUGGAAAAGUUUGAUUUAUAGCUUGAAACAAUUCAGAAAUAUCCAAAAACAAGGGGAAAAAAUUAAAAAUAGAAAUCGUCAUAAAAAACAUAAACAUUAUAUAUUUAUACAUCAUAUGUGUGUGUGUGCGUGCAUUCGUGCGUGCGUGUGUGAUAGGAGUAGAGAUGAAGAAGUAGUUGAGAUUGACGGCCAUGAAGUACAAAAAAGACCGCACUUUAGAAGUACAAAAAAGACCGGACUUUAGAUAUCUUGGGUCAAUAAUCCAUGAAAAUAGAGAAGGAAAUAUAUAUAUAGAAGAUGGAUUAUGGAAAAGUUUGAUUUAUAGCUUGAAACAAUUCAGAAAUAUCCAAAAAAAGGGGAAAAAAUUAAAAAUAGAAAUCGUCAUAAAAAACAUAAACGUUAUAUAUUUAUACGUCAUUUGUGUGUGUGUGCGUGCAUUCGUGCGUGCGUGUGUGAUAGGAGUAGAG